Long non-coding RNA from Hemibagrus wyckioides, 571 nucleotides. RefSeq lists it as uncharacterized. The transcript has 4 exons. The record is from RefSeq and is a predicted model, not a curated record. Lineage: Eukaryota; Metazoa; Chordata; Actinopteri; Siluriformes; Bagridae.
GGAUUCAUGAUGUUCAUGUUGGAUGAGGAGUUACACCACAGGAGAUAUGUGAUUAACUAAAUGAAAAAAGUUUAAAGCUCAUCUGCUCUGCGUCUGUUUUAGGAGCAGAAGCGAGAGUCGGAGGCCAAGACUUUUAAGGAAUUGGAGUUCAAGCACAAGACUUUUACACACAAUGAUGAGUUACUAGUGGAAACUCUGUCUGAAACUGAGGCUAAGCUUCUGAAAGCGAUGAAGUGCAACACUACACUGGAGCAGGAGAGAGCUGAGCUUUUUUACCAAGUGCAUUUACUGCGACAUUCACUCCAGGAGCUGGAGGAAAUGCUGUCUGAUUCCGAGAGGAAGUAUGAGGCUAUAAAGCAGGAGAAAGAACAAGAGGCGCAGGCUCACAAUAUCCUGAAGAGGAAGUACAAGAAGAUGCUGGAAUUUUUUAAUGCAGUUUAAUAACCUACUAACGAACUUUUACAAAGAGGAGGAAGUGGUUCUAUGAACCCCAGGUAAUUGCCCCUGGUUCUUACGAGGAGUGAAACAAAAGCACCGCUGACAUGCUGGCGCUCAUGGAUGACUAAAAAAA